RNAcentral lists this ribosomal RNA (768 nucleotides) under uncultured soil bacterium. RNAcentral's name for it is "bacterial SSU rRNA". It matches the Rfam family "Bacterial small subunit ribosomal RNA", at positions 8 to 796 of the family's 1533-position model. The record is from RNAcentral.
AGAGUUUGAUCCUGGCUCAGGACGAACGCUUGCGGCGUGCCUAAGAAAUGCAAGUCGAACGGGCGGCCUUCGGGCCGUCAGUGGCGAACGGUCGCGUAACACGUAGGCAACCUGCCCGGAAGUGGGGGACAACGGCCCGAAAGGGCCGCUAAUACCGCAUGUGGCCGCCUCCUCGCAUGGGGGGGCGUCUGAAGCUUGAUGCGCUUCCGGAUGGGCCUGCGGCCUAUCAGCUUGUUGGCGGGGUGACGGCCCACCAAGGCGAUGACGGGUAGCUGGUCUGAGAGGACGAUCAGCCGGAUUGGGACUGAGACACGGCCCAGACUCCUACGGGGGGCAGCAAUUAGGAAUCUUGCGCAAUGGGCGGAAGCCUGACGCAGCGACGCCGCGUGGGGGACGAAGGCCUUCGGGUCGUAAACCCCUUUUACCGGGGAAGAAGGAUGUGACGGUACCCGGUGAAUAAGCCCCGGCUAACUACGUGCCAGCAGCCGCGGUAAUACGUAGGGGGCGAGCGUUGUCCGAAGUUACUGGGCGUAAAGCGCGCGUAGGCGGCUGUCUAAGUCUGGUGUGAAAGGUCCAGGGCUCAACCCGGACAGUGCACUGGAGACUGGGCGGCUUGAGCGCGGCAGGGGGGGGCGGAAUUCCUGGUGUAGCGGUGAAAUGCGUAGAUAUCAGGAGGAACACCGAUGGCGAAGGCAGCCCCCUGGGCCGUUUCUGACGCUGAGGCGCGAAAGCGUGGGGAGCGAACGGGAUUAGAUACCCCUGUAGUCC